RNAcentral lists this ribosomal RNA (305 nucleotides) under uncultured bacterium. RNAcentral's name for it is "bacterial SSU rRNA". It matches the Rfam family "Bacterial small subunit ribosomal RNA", at positions 337 to 635 of the family's 1533-position model. The record is from RNAcentral.
ACCUACGGGGGGCAGCAGUAGGGAAUUUUCGUCGAUGGGCGCAAGCCUGAACGAGCAAUGCCGCGUGAACGAGGAAGGUCUUCGGAUCGUAAAGUUCUGUUGAAGGGGAAAAAGAGCGGAGAGAGGAAAUGGUCUCCGAUUGAUAUUACCCUUCGAGGAAGUCACGGCUAACUACGUGCCAGCAGCCGCGGUAAUACGUAGGUGGCGAGCGUUAUCCGGAAUGAUUGGGCGUAAAGGGUGCGUAGGCGGCCUGCUAAGUCUGGAGUGAAAGGUACCGGCUCAACCGGUACAGGCUCUGGAAACUG